Molecule: long non-coding RNA, 684 nt
Organism: Balaenoptera acutorostrata (minke whale)
Lineage: Eukaryota; Metazoa; Chordata; Mammalia; Artiodactyla; Balaenopteridae
Exons: 3
Source: RefSeq, a predicted model, not a curated record
UUGGCUCCAAAAUAAUCAAAAAAGUGGCUGAGGUGGCCCUGGAUAAGGGCUGCUCCCAGUUCCGCCUGGCAGUCCUAGACUGGAACAAGGGGGCUAUGGACUUGUAUAAGGCCCUAGGAGCCCAAGAUCUGACGGAAGCUGAAGGUUGGCACUGCUUUCGCUUUGAAGGAGAGGCGAUGAGGGAGUUGGCAGGAAAGUGACGCCAUCCCUUGGGGAUCUCCAUUUCAGCUUCUUCAUCCCCACCAGCUCAAGCAGUCCUCAGAGACUGUCUCCACUGACCAAGGCCUCCCGGAAGGAAGGGAAGGAGGGUUGGAGGUGAAUAUUCCCAGAUGGAAAGAACAGAGAUGGGAGCAAGAAGAAUCCAGUUUCAUGCCCUUGGCUCAUCUAAUCUGGCAGGGAUGAAUAUCUUUUAAACAUGAACAAGUUAUCUUUUGAUGGCACUUUUUAAACUUAACUCAGAAUGAAUUAUUUCUGGAAGGACACACAAACAAGCAGAGAGUGGUUGCUUCCAGGGAGAGGAACUGGGUGUCCAGGUAACGGAAGGAAGGGGACUUUUCCCCAUGCCACUUUGGAUCUUCUGAAUUUUGUGCCUCGCCCAUGUAGUACUUCAGAAAAAUGAAUAAAUAAAACUUUAAAUACUAAUGCAGAAGAAAAGAUUAUGAACUAGGAAACAAUAUUUCCAAA